GAUGAAUCCUCCAUGUUCUUCCAGUUUGGCCCAUCAAUUGAACAGCAAGCUUCCGUAAUGCUCAACAUCAUGGAAGAAUAUGACUGGUACAUCUUUUCUAUUGUCACCACCUACUUCCCUGGCUACCAGGACUUUGUAAACAAGAUCCGCAGCACCAUCGAGAAUAGCUUCGUGGGCUGGGAGCUAGAGGAAGUCCUCCUGCUGGACAUGUCCCUGGAUGAUGGAGAUUCUAAGAUCCAGAAUCAGCUCAAGAAACUUCAAAGCCCCAUCAUUCUCCUUUAUUGCACUAAGGAAGAAGCUACCUACAUCUUCGAAGUGGCUAACUCAGUAGGGCUGACUGGCUACGGCUACACUUGGAUUGUUCCCAGUCUGGUGGCAGGGGAUACAGACACAGUCCCCUCGGAGUUCCCCACUGGGCUCAUCUCAGUAUCGUAUGACGAAUGGGACUAUGGCCUCCCUGCCAGAGUGAGAGAUGGAAUUGCCAUAAUCACCACCGCCGCUUCUGACAUGCUGUCUGAACACAGCUUCAUCCCCGAGCCCAAGAGCAGUUGCUACAACACCCAUGAGAAGAGAAUCUACCAGUCCAAUAUGCUGAAUAGGUGAGUGUGGACAGAGGGCACAUGGCAGUGGAGAUGAGAGGAGAGCUUCGGAGACUGGGGUUGGAGGCUCAGAAGCUGUGGCAGGAGCAGUUCAAGACAGCAGCAGGGUGAAGGCUGCCCUCUGGGGUGGCAGUGGGGCGUGAUGGCAGGAGC
Molecule: RNA transcript, 752 nt
Organism: Galeopterus variegatus (Sunda flying lemur)
Lineage: Eukaryota; Metazoa; Chordata; Mammalia; Dermoptera; Cynocephalidae
Gene name: glutamate receptor ionotropic, NMDA 2B pseudogene
Exons: 1
Source: RefSeq, a predicted model, not a curated record